UAGUCCACGCCGUAAACGAUGGAUACUAGUUGUUGGGCAUUAGCUCAGUGACUAAGCGAAAGUGAUAAGUAUCCCACCUGGGGAGUACGGUCGCAAGACUGAAACUCAAAGGAAUUGACGGGGGCCCGCACAAGCGGUGGAGCAUGUGGUUUAAUUCGAUGAUACGCGAGGAACCUUACCAGGGCUUAAAUGUAGUAUGACAGGUUUAGAGAUAGACUUUUCUUCGGACAUAUUACAAGGUGCUGCAUGGUUGUCGUCAGCUCGUGCCGUGAGGUGUCAGGUUAAGUCCUAUAACGAGCGCAACCCCUGUCGUUAGUUGCUAACAAGUAAAGUUGAGGACUCUAGCGAGACUGCCGGUGCAAACCGCGAGGAAGGUGGGGAUGACGUCAAAUCAUCACGGCCCUUACGUCCUGGGCCACACACGUGCUACAAUGGUAUGGACAAUGAGCAGCCACUACGCGAGUAGGAGCGAAUCUAUAAACCAUAUCACAGUUCGGAUCGG
Molecule: ribosomal RNA, 502 nt
Filed under: uncultured bacterium
Lineage: Bacteria
Description: bacterial SSU rRNA
Rfam family: Bacterial small subunit ribosomal RNA
Source: RNAcentral